This is a non-coding RNA of Oryza sativa Japonica Group (Japanese rice), 2247 nucleotides long. Lineage: Eukaryota; Viridiplantae; Streptophyta; Magnoliopsida; Poales; Poaceae. The record is from RefSeq and is a predicted model, not a curated record.
ACCGCUCUCAACCUCCAAGAGCUCGUGAGUCGAGAAAUUUCCGGCGUGGUCGGUGCCCAUUUUGGUCAGAAUCGCACGAGCAAAGCAACACCCCCCACCCCGCCUGAGAAAUCCCCACGUCAACGGCAGCAACCCUCCCCCCUCGAUCUCCGCCUGUAAUCUUCGAUUCGUCGCCGGCAACCGCCGCCCGCCGCCCCCCGUCGAUCUCCAACCGCAGCCUUCGCCGUCCCGCUAAGUUGGAGAGCAGCACAAGUGCUGCUGGGAGCCGCUUGGGGGAAGCCGGUUCGGGCGACUGAACGCCGGGGAGCGCCGCCGCCACUCGCUAGCUCCGGCCUCCGGGGGCAACGCCGCCGAGCCACGUCGCCGGUCAGGCAAUGGAUAUGGAUGAUAUGCUCGGUGGCCUGCGUGUUGCCGGAGUGCCGACCAAGAGCGCAAUUUACUUAUGGGGGUAUAACCACAGUGGGCAGACGGCACGGAAGGGCAAGGAGUGCCACUUAAGGAUCCCCAAAAGCCUCCCUCCAAAGCUAUUCAAAUGGCAGGAUGGCAAGAACCUCAGGUGGAUUGAUGUUGCCUGCGGUCGCGGGCACACUGCUGCGGUCGCUUCUGAUGGAUCGCUCUACACCUGGGGGGCGAAUGAUUUUGGCCAGUUGGGAGACGGGACAGAGGAGAGUGCAAAGGAACCCCAAAAGGUGAAGGCACUGGAGACUGAAUUUGUGAAAUCAGUGUCCUGUGGAGCACAUUGUACAGCUGCUGUUGCUGAACCUCGAGAAAACAAUGGCACUAUAUCAAGAAGUAGGCUCUGGGUCUGGGGACAAAAUCAGGGCUCAGAUUACCCUCGCCUAUUCUGGGGAGCUUUUGCACCAAAUACGGUGAUCCAUCAGGUUUCCUGUGGAGCUGUUCAUGUCAUGGCCCUAUCUGAAGAUGGCCUGCUGCAGGCAUGGGGCUAUAAUGAGUAUGGUCAGCUUGGCAGAGGUUGUACUUCUGAAGGGCUACAGGGAGCUCGUGUAUUAAAUGCUUAUGCAAGGUUCCUUGACGAAGCCCCUGAGCUAGUGAAGAUUGUUAGAGUAUCAUGUGGAGAGUACCAUACAGCAGCUAUAUCAGAAAAUGGGGAGGUAUAUACUUGGGGACUGGGAAGCAUGGGACAGCUUGGGCAUUGCUCUCUUCAGUCUGGAGAUAAGGAGCUGAUCCCAAGGCGUGUUGUUGCUCUUGACAGAACAGUAAUCAGGGAUGUGUCUUGUGGUGGGGUCCACUCUUGUGCUGUAACUGAAGAUGGAGCCCUUUAUGCUUGGGGUGGAGGACAUGUGGGACAACUGGGCCUAGGACCUCAGAGCGGUUUCUUUUCUUGUGCUCUUAAUGGAUCUGAUAUGCUUCUUCGCAACAUUCCAGUCCUGGUCAUACCAUCAGGAGUUCAGCUUGUUACUUGUGGUCAUUCUCACACCCUUGUAUCUAUGAAAGACAGCCGCAUAUAUGGUUGGGGCUAUAAUAGUUAUGGCCAAGCCGCUAAUGAAAAAUCUACUUAUGCUUGGUUCCCCUCUCCAGUUGAUUGGUGUGUUGGAGAGGUAAGGAGACUUGCUGCAGGUGGUGGCCAUUCAGCUGUUUUAACUGAUGCAUGUUCUCUAAAAGAACUGUGUGAGUUCAAGCUAGCAGAGACAGUUAACAUGUCCAAUGCUCUUCUAAUAGAAGAUGUUGCAUCGCGGACUGGUGGUGAUGCCUUGGCACGUCUGUGUGAGAAAUUGAGGCCAGUGAGAAACAUUGGUAACAUAAAUCAUCAUUAGUGUGAUCUUAGUUCCAUGUGAGAGUUUCCAUGUAUCUCGGAUAUGCAUUCUGCAUAGUUGUCUCAAUUAUUGAACGAGCAUAAAAUCCACAGGAGCAUUUGGUUGAGCAAGGAGAGUGUGAGCUGUUGGAAAAUCAAAUGAUUGAAGAGGUGGAGGCUAAAGCCUAAAUACUCUAGUGAUUCAUCGCUCCUUCGUAGGCAUUGAUUGAAGCAUUAAUCGUCUUGUUGCACUUCAUAUGAAGUGUGAUUGUAGUGUCUGGACUGAAGGCUCUAAUUAAUUGUCUAUUGGACUGUGAAGUCCCAUUGGUGUCUCCAAUGUGUAUCAAAGAAAUGGGGACUACAUGUAUGUUGUAUGUAUCAUGAGUGACUGUUGUUGUAGAGAACCAAAUAACCUUUGGCAACUUGAGAGCUGUGCUUUGUCACUGAAACUAACUGUAAGAUUGAGAGUUGCCAGGUCAUAGUAGUGUGAUUCA